AAAGAAAGCGUAAUAGCUCACUGGUCGAGUCGGCCUGCGCGGAAGAUGUAACGGGGCUAAACCAUGCACCGAAGCUGCGGCAGCGACGCUGAUGCGUUGUUGGGUAGGGGAGCGUUCUGUAAGCCUGAGAAGGUGUGCUGUGAGGCAUGCUGGAGGUAUCAGAAGUGCGAAUGCUGACAUAAGUAACGAUAAAGCGGGUGAAAAGCCCGCUCGCCGGAAGACCAAGGGUUCCUGUCCAACGUUAAUCGGGGCAGG
This 255-nucleotide ribosomal RNA is filed under the name Escherichia coli. RNAcentral describes it as "partial 23S ribosomal RNA". It matches the Rfam family "Bacterial large subunit ribosomal RNA", at positions 1125 to 1378 of the family's 2925-position model. Lineage: Bacteria; Pseudomonadati; Pseudomonadota; Gammaproteobacteria; Enterobacterales; Enterobacteriaceae. The record is from RNAcentral.